GACGAACGCUGGCGGCGUGCUUAACACAUGCAAGUCGAACGAAAAGGCCCUGAUUUUGCGCCGCGCACGAGUGCCGAACAGGUGAGAAACACGCGAGUAACCCGCCCUUGACUUAGGGAUAACUUCACGAAACUGGGGAUAAUACCCGAUAGAAUCUCCUGCUGCAUGGGGGGGGUUAGGAAAGUUACGGCGGUGGGGGAUGGACUCACGGAUUAUCACCUUGUUGGCGGGGUAGUGACUUACCAAGCGCUUUGACGGGAAGACGGCCUGACAGAGGUGACCGGCCGCAUUGGCACUGAGAUACUGACCACACUCCUACAGUACGAAGGAAUGGGGAAUAUUGCACACUGCGCGGAAGCCUGAUGCACCAACGCCGCGUGCCCGAUGACGGCCUUCAGGUUGUAAACCGCUUUCACCUGGGACUAAGCGAGAAUGACGGGAAUGGGUAAAGAAGCACCUGCUAACUACAUGCCAUCAGACGCCCUGAUACAAAUGGUGCCAGCCUUGCCCGGAUUUAUUGAGCGGACAGGGCUCAUACGUAGUUGAUCGCGUCAGAACUGUAAUCUGGGGGCUUAUCCCUGAGAGUGCUUUCCACACGGCUUGACUUGAGGAAGGCAUUGGAGAAUGGAAUUCCCCGUGGAGCGGGGGAAAGGCCAGAUAUCUAGAGGAACACACCUGGGGGAAGGGGGGUCUUUGGCUCUUUCAAGACACUGAGGAGCGAAAGCGCGGGGGGUGAACACAGGUUGAUACCCUGGGAGUCCCCGCCCUAAACGGGAGGAACUAGGAGUGGGGUCCAUUCCACGGGCUCCCAUGCCGGAGGUAACGCCUUAAAUCCCCCGCCUGGGGAGUACGGCCGCAAGGGUAGAACUCAAAGGAAUUGGCGGGGGCCCCGCCCCAGCGGCGGAGCCUGGGGAUUAAUUUGGUGCCACGCGUAGGACCUUUCCUGGGUCUGACCAGGAUCGGGCGCGUUCAGAGAUGGGUGUGCCUCUUUCGGGGUCCAUUCACACGGGGUGCAUCACCUGUCGUCAGCAUCGCGUCGUGAGAGGUUGGGUUAAUUACCCGCAACGAGCAGCAACCACCUGUUCAGCUGUUGCCACGCAUCGUUAUGGUGGGGCCUCAGAGGAGACCGCCGGGGUCCACUCGGAGGAAGGGGGGGAAGACGUCAAGUCCUCAUGCCCCUUAUGUCCAGGGCUUCCCCCAGGCUACAAUGGGUGGUACAGAGAGUGGCGAGCCUGUGAGGGUGAGCGAAUCUCGGAAAACCGGUCUCCGUUUGGGAUGGGGUUUGCAACUUGACCUCAAGAAGUCGGAGUCGCUUGUUAUUGCAGAUCCGCCACGCUGCGGUGAAUACGUUCCCGGGUC
This 1359-nucleotide ribosomal RNA is filed under the name uncultured bacterium. Its description in RNAcentral is "partial 16S ribosomal RNA". It matches the Rfam family "Bacterial small subunit ribosomal RNA", at positions 28 to 1380 of the family's 1533-position model. The record is from RNAcentral.